GUGACAAGCCCUCAAGACUCAGAAUUUUCCCAGGGCUGUCAAGAUUCCAAACUGUUGAACAGACAAUUUCUCCAACAGCUCUCUGGACCUGAGAGAAGGAGGGGACAGGUGUAUGUAUGAAUCAUCUUGAACCCAUCCAUCAAACAACUGGCCUUGAGGAUUUUCUAGCUGUGGUGAAAGAAUAACUCCAGUCUUCCGGGUGGACAGCCAGACUGGAGAAAAGAUCACUACCCUUCUGGGACAUCUGAGGACAUCAGCUGGAUUCCUAUUUCUGGCUCACCAAGGACUCUUUGUCUGACAGCAAGUGGCUCACAAGACAGAAUACAGUCCAAGAUGGGAAGCAGUGUAGAAAAAGUAAAGCAGGGAAAGAAGAGACAAAGCAAAAGAAAAAUCCCCAAAACAGCUUCUGGACAGCAUCAUCUCUAGUCUACUCCACUUUCCAAAUACCACCA
Molecule: long non-coding RNA, 452 nt
Organism: Monodelphis domestica (gray short-tailed opossum)
Lineage: Eukaryota; Metazoa; Chordata; Mammalia; Didelphimorphia; Didelphidae
Source: RefSeq, a predicted model, not a curated record